CAAAAUGUAUUCAUUUCAUGAAAAGUUGUGUCAUGUGAAACGUCUUAUAACAUAAAAAACGUAGAUUUUUCAUUGUGCGUGUGUGAUCUAAAAAUGUUUAAAUUCUUUGCUGCUUUUGUAAUUCCAUCCUUAAUUUCUUGUUUCGCGGUGCCAAAUGACCCUUUACAUUUAAACAUACUACCACCUCCAAACUUUAAUUACCAAUCAGGAGAUUCACUGGCUAUUAAUGUGACAUUCAAGAAUGUACCAAACGGUCGGAACCCUGGCUUUAAAGUCAUACAUGGAAGUGCAGAAAAAGUAUUUGUGAAACGAGGAAAAACAUCAUUUCAAUUCAGUGAAAAAUUGAUUUCUCAAAGUGUAUCUCUCGACUUGGAUCUGGCUGAAGGCGACCCGGUCUAUACACUAUACAAAGGAAAAAUUCAGC
Helicoverpa armigera (cotton bollworm) is the source of this 424-nucleotide long non-coding RNA. RefSeq lists it as uncharacterized. The record is from RefSeq and is a predicted model, not a curated record. The transcript has 3 exons. Lineage: Eukaryota; Metazoa; Arthropoda; Insecta; Lepidoptera; Noctuidae.